This 253-nucleotide ribosomal RNA is filed under the name uncultured bacterium. Its description in RNAcentral is "partial 16S ribosomal RNA". It matches the Rfam family "Bacterial small subunit ribosomal RNA", at positions 524 to 776 of the family's 1533-position model. The record is from RNAcentral.
GACGAACCGUGCGAACGUUGUUCGGAAUCACUGGGCUUAAAGGGCGCGUAGGCGGUCUGCCAAGUCAGGGGUGAAAUCUUUCGGCUUAACCGGAAAAGUGCCUUUGAUACUGGCGGGCUCGAGGGAGGUAGGGGCAGAUGGAACUCCGGGUGGAGCGGUGAAAUGUGUAGAUAUCCGGAGGAACGCCGGUGGCGAAAGCGAUCUGCUGGACCUCUUCUGACGCUGAGGCGCGAAAGCCAGGGGAGCAAACGGG